CCCGCGCCGUAUUAGCUAGUUGGUGGGGUAACGGCCUACCAAGGCGACGAUACGUAGCCGACCUGAGAGGGUGAUCGGCCACACUGGAACUGAGACACGGUCCAGACUCCUACGGGAGGCAGCAGUAGGGAAUCUUCCGCAAUGGGCGAAAGCCUGACGGAGCAACGCCGCGUGAGUGAUGAAGGUCUUCGGAUCGUAAAGCUCUGUUGUUAGGGAAGAACAAAUGUGUAAGUAACUGUGCACAUCUUGACGGUACCUAACCAGAAAGCCACGGCUAACUACGUGCCAGCAGCCGCGGUAAUACGUAGGUGGCAAGCGUUAUCCGGAAUUAUUGGGCGUAAAGCGCGCGUAGGCGGUUUUUUAAGUCUGAUGUGAAAGCCCACGGCUCAACCGUGGAGGGUCAUUGGAAACUGGAAAACUUGAGUGCAGAAGAGGAAAGUGGAAUUCCAUGUGUAGCGGUGAAAUGCGCAGAGAUAUGGAGGAACACCAGUGGCGAAGGCGGCUUUCUGGUCUGCAACUGACGCUGAUGUGCGAAAGCGUGGGGAUCAAACAGGAUUAGAUACCCUGGUAGUCCACGCCGUAAACGAUGAGUGCUAAGUGUUAGGGGGUUUCCGCCCCUUAGUGCUGCAGCUAACGCAUUAAGCACUCCGCCUGGGGAGUACGGUCGCAAGACUGAAACUCAAAGGAAUUGACGGGGACCCGCACAAGCGGUGGAGCAUGUGGUUUAAUUCGAAGCAACGCGAAGAACCUUACCAAAUCUUGACAUCCUUUGACCGCUCUAGAGAUAGAGUUUUCCUCUUCGGAGGACAAAGUGACAGGUGGUGCAUGGUUGUCGUCAGCUCGUGUCGUGAGAUGUUGGGUUAAGUCCCGCAACGAGCGCAACCCUUGAACUUAGUUGCCAUCAUUCAGUUGGGCACUCUAAGUUGACUGCCGGUGACAAACCGGAGGAAGGUGGGGAUGACGUCAAAUCAUCAUGCCCCUUAUGAUUUGGGCUACACACGUGCUACAAUGGACAAUACAAAGGGCAGCGAAACCGCGAGGUCAAGCAAAUCCCAUAAAGUUGUUCUCAGUUCGGAUUGUAGUCUGCAACUCGACUACAUGAAGCUGGAAUCGCUAGUAAUCGUAGAUCAGCAUGCUACGGUGAAUACGUUCCCGGGUCUUGUACACACCGCCCGUCACACCACGAGAGUUUGUAACACCCGAAGCCGGUGGAGUAACCAUUUUGGAGCUAGCCGUCGAAGGUGGGACAAAUGAUUGGG
RNAcentral lists this ribosomal RNA (1259 nucleotides) under Staphylococcus pseudintermedius. Its description in RNAcentral is "bacterial SSU rRNA". It matches the Rfam family "Bacterial small subunit ribosomal RNA", at positions 230 to 1479 of the family's 1533-position model. The record is from RNAcentral. Lineage: Bacteria; Bacillati; Bacillota; Bacilli; Caryophanales; Staphylococcaceae.